AUACGUAGGGGGCAAGCGUUAUCCGGAUUUACUGGGUGUAAAGGGAGCGUAGACGGAAGGCCAAGUCUGAUGUGAAAGCCCGCGGCUCAACUGCGGGACUGCAUUGGAAACUGGUCAUCUGGAGUGCAGUAGAGGCAAGCGGAAUUCCCGGUGUAGCGGUGAAAUGCGCAGAGAUCGGGAGGAACACCAGUGGCGAAGGCGGCUUGCUGGGCUGUUACUGACGCUGAGGCACGAAAGCAUGGGUAGCAAACAGGAUUAGAUACCCUGGUAGUCCAUGCUGUAAACGAUGAUCACUAGGUGUGGGUGGACUGACCCCAUCCGUGCCGGAGUUAACACAUUAAGUAAUCCACCUGGGGAGUACGGCCGCAAGGUUGAAACUCAAAUGAAUUGACGGGG
RNAcentral lists this ribosomal RNA (396 nucleotides) under uncultured bacterium. RNAcentral's name for it is "partial 16S ribosomal RNA". It matches the Rfam family "Bacterial small subunit ribosomal RNA", at positions 523 to 918 of the family's 1533-position model. The record is from RNAcentral.